ACUUGUGUUAGGUAUGAUUAUUGUAUAUAUUGUAGAAGGUCUUAUUUUGCAUUUAUUAAUUGGUAUUAUUAAUUGGCAUUUCAGAAACCUGGUUAACUAAUCUGACGUCUGAGCAAUUUAAUAUGCCAUACUUUGAGUUUAUUUCAUGUUGCCAUGACACACGGCAAGGUAGAGGGAUUGGUCUCUAUUUAAAUAAAAAAUUACAUGUUAGAGUAAGACAUGACUUAGGUGUUAAUGAUGAUAAUAUUUGCCAAUCACAAUUUGUUGAAUUGACAUUAACAAACAAAACAAUAAUUAUAGGAAUAAUAUAUAGGCCAGCAAGUAGUAAUUUGCAUACAUUUGUAGAUUAUUUGAAUGAGGAGCUUGGCUCACUUGCCAUUAUAUAGGCCAGCAAGUAGUAAUUUGCAUACAUUUGUAGAUUAUUUGAAUGAGGAGCUUGGCUCACUUGCCAUUAUAUAGGCCAGCAAGUAGUAAUUUGCAUACAUUUGUAGAUUAUUUGAAUGAGGAGCUUGGCUCACUUGCCAUUAUAUAGGCCAGCAAGUAGUAAUUUGCAUACAUUUGUAGAUUAUUUGAAUGAGGAGCUUGGCUCACUUGCCAUUAUAUAGGCCAGCAAGUAGUAAUUUGCAUACAUUUGUAGAUUAUUUGAAUGAGGAGCUUGGCUCACUUGCCAUUAUAUAGGCCAGCAAGUAGUAAUUUGCAUACAUUUGUAGAUUAUUUGAAUGAGGAGCUUGGCUCACUUGCCAUUAUAUAGGCCAGCAAGUAGUAAUUUGCAUACAUUUGUAGAUUAUUUGAAUGAGGAGCUUGGCUCACUUGCCAUUAUAUAGGCCAGCAAGUAGUAAUUUGCAUACAUUUGUAGAUUAUUUGAAUGAGGAGCUUGGCUCACUUGCCAUUAUAUAGGCCAGCAAGUAGUAAUUUGCAUACAUUUGUAGAUUAUUUGAAUGAGGAGCUUGGCUCACUUGCCAUUAUAUAGGCCAGCAAGUAGUAAUUUGCAUACAUUUGUAGAUUAUUUGAAUGAGGAGCUUGGCUCACUUGCCAUCUUAAGUAUGGCAAGUGAGCCAAGACACACUGCAGGACACACUCCAAUGUCCCUGUCUUCAAUAUGCUGAUGACACAACUUUUCUCAUCCACUGUAAACCAUCAUCAUCUACACCUGUGCGCAAAUGAGGUGAAUGAUGCCAUUUUCAGACUACAUGAAUAUUCUGAGGGAUGCAAUCUUGCACUAAAUUUAUCAAAGACAAAAUGGAUGGUAAUUUCCACGCAACAGAUGUCACGUAUACAUAAACUGGAUGAACGACUACCACCGAUUAUGUGUGAUGACACCCCCAAGUUGCUUGGUGUGUAUAUGGACCAACAUCUCGCGUGUGGUGAUAAAGUUAACAACUUGUUGUCCAGUUGUUAUUCGACAAUGCUGGAGAGAGAUAGAGAGACAGUGCUAGAGGGAGAGAGAGAUAUCUUCAAGCCAACGUGUAAUGUUCUGUUUAUUAUAUAGUUCCAAGCCAAAAAUUGUAUAAAUCCUAAAAGUCACGUGAUCGAGAUAUCUUCACUGAUGAAGAUAUGGAAAGAGGGCCCUGAAGGGGUAAAAUGGGAACUGGGAUUGAUCUAUUUUUAGACUGGGAAAAUGGGAUUUGGGUUGCUGGGAGUGGGAUUUGGCCACUGGGAAUGGGAAAUGAAGU
RNAcentral lists this long non-coding RNA (1673 nucleotides) under Paramuricea clavata. Lineage: Eukaryota; Metazoa; Cnidaria; Anthozoa; Malacalcyonacea; Plexauridae. The record is from RNAcentral.